RNAcentral lists this transfer RNA (84 nucleotides) under Cyanobacteria bacterium FACHB-471. RNAcentral describes it as "tRNA-OTHER". The record is from RNAcentral. Lineage: Bacteria; Bacillati; Cyanobacteriota.
GGGGACGCAAUUGGUGUUCGACUGCUCCGAAGCCAACAAACGGACGGUUGCAGGAUUGGGGUUCGAUUCCCCACGUCUCCACCA